GACAGAGGGUGCAAGCGUUGUUCGGAAUUAUUGGGCGUAAAGCGCACGUAGGCGGCUCGUUAAGUCGGGUGUGAAAGCCCGGGGCUCAACCCCGGAAGUGCACUUGAAACUGGCGAGCUGGAGUCUCGGAGAGGGUGGUGGAAUUCCUGGUGUAGAGGUGAAAUUCGUAGAUAUCAGGAGGAACACCCGAGGCGAAGGCGACCGCCUGGACGAUGACUGACGCUGAGGUGCGAAAGCGUGGGGAGCAAACAGG
Molecule: ribosomal RNA, 253 nt
Filed under: uncultured bacterium
Lineage: Bacteria
Description: partial 16S ribosomal RNA
Rfam family: Bacterial small subunit ribosomal RNA
Source: RNAcentral